CCUACGGGUGGCAGCAGUGGGGAAUAUUGCACAAUGGGGGAAACCCUGAUGCAGCGACGCCGCGUGAGUGAAGAAGUACUUCGUUAUGUAAAGCUCUAUCAUCAGGGAAGAAAAUGACGGUACUUCCGUAAGAAUCCCCGGCUACAUACUUGCCAGCAGCCGCGGUAAUACGUAGGGGGCAAGCGUUAUCCGGAUUUACUGGGUGUAACGGGAGCGUAGACGGCAGUGCAAGUAAGGAGUGAAAGGCGGGGGCUCAACCCCCGGAAUCCUCUGGAAACUGGACGGCUGGAGUGCAGGAGGGGGAAGUGGAAGUCCUAGUGUAGCGGUGAAAUGCGUAGAUAUUAGGAGGAACACCAGUGGCGAAGGCGGCUUACUGGACUGUAACUGACGUUGAGGCUCGAAAGCGUGGGGAGCAAACAGGAUUAGAUACCCUUGUAGUC
Molecule: ribosomal RNA, 440 nt
Filed under: uncultured bacterium
Lineage: Bacteria
Description: partial 16S ribosomal RNA
Rfam family: Bacterial small subunit ribosomal RNA
Source: RNAcentral